RNAcentral lists this unclassified non-coding RNA (363 nucleotides) under uncultured fungus. RNAcentral's name for it is "partial contains 5.8S ribosomal RNA, internal transcribed spacer 2, and large subunit ribosomal RNA". Lineage: Eukaryota; Fungi. The record is from RNAcentral.
AACGCAUAUUGCGCUCUCUGGUAUCCCGGAGAGCAUGCUUGUUUGAGUAUCAGUUCCCUACUCAAGUCGAGAGGUGGAGUUUGACAUCAAUCUUCAUUUCUAAUCGACUUGGAUUUGAGUGAUUCCUAGCAUAUUGUGUUACAAUGUUGUCAGGUCACUUGAAAAGCAGGCGCGGCUGGACAUUCUUCUGAGCUAAAAGCAUAUUUAUUUAGUCUUGCUUCAUUGCUGGAUUAUUACUUUAUUGCUCUAGCUAAUAUAAAGGAAUGAUUGUUCUUGGCUGACUGAUACAGGAAUUUAACAGUUCUUUUUUUUGGAACUGUGAAUCUCGAUCUCAAAUCAAGUAAGACUACCCGCUGAACUUAA